AGAGGGACAAAUGAAGGACAAGUCUGAAAUAACGUGGUGUACAUGUUAUAUAUGACCGAGGGAUGGGGCGGACUGUUUUAGUGUAGCAAUAAUCCUUCUGAUCAACUACUGAUACUACUUUUAUCAAAAAAUAACAGUUUUAGCCUCAUUUCACAUUUUUCAUCUUUCCAUGCCAGUCACUACUGGCAGCUUGUUAUUGAUCAAGGAAUGUAGGCGUAUACUACUUUGGAACUUGCAGUGUGUGUCAGCUAAGUGAUUAAACUCUAAACAUAAAUGACAGAGGAAGAAUCUGAAAAGGGAUUUUGACUUGUUUUGGAAAUUGAGGUUUAUUCCCAGAUUAAAAAGGUCACCCCACAUCACUGCUUGGUCCAAGGCGUAGGCGCUUUUUAAAAAAAAAAAUUGUUUUGUGGGUUACACCCCAAUUACAGCAUCCGCGACUGGAAUCUGUGACUGAACCACAGCGGUGGGCAGACAGCUGUCGAGGAGAUGCGAGCCAAAAUAGCCACUAAUUUUCAGUCCUGCUCACAUACCUCGGAUGCCAACGAGCUGCACCUUUCAGGACGGCUCUGCUCCGGUGCAUACCCAUCACGUUUGAGAUGUUCCGCAUAACACAUACAAUAUUACAAAUGUUGUUGCUAUGCAUACAAAAGGCUUAACCUAUAGUAAUUUAGAUUAUUCAUCAUGUGUACCCCUCGGAUGUCUUCACAUUUGCAUUGCCAGUGAACCAUGAACAUAAAUAUAAAUGUUUCCUAACAUAUGAAAAUAGAGAGACACUACAUGGCCUUGAGUGCACACAUUCAGUAAAGCAGGCUGAUAUACAUAUCACACACACACACACACACACUCAAAACUCCAGAGCAGCAUCAGCAUGGCCCGCCCGGUUCCACAACACUCAGGUCCCAGACAUAUGCCUGCUUUUCUUAAAAUAGAUGGCCUGUAAAUAAGGGCUGUGAACUCAAUCAUAGGUGGCUCGCGUGCAAAUUAGUCACCGCCAUCGGCAGGUUCUCAUCGCAUACUCGCCACAGCGUAAAUUGUGGCAGAAAAGGACAUCAGAAGACUUAUUGGAGGAGUGCAGAUGGAGCACUAGGCGAGCCAGAAGCAUGGCAUCACAUGGGGACACACCUCAUUGGCAGCUUGUACAAGAAUGUUCUGUGGUAAGAGCCAAUCAUGGUCGGGCCCGGAGUUUGAGCCACCAUAGUGAAGAGGUGGAGGCUUUUUUUAAUGCGCUCUAGUUGAAUUUAUGUUUCUGAGUAAUAAAACAAAAAUUGCAGCAAGCUCAUAAGUCUUUGGUGAAAAUCCACAGAUUUAUAUCUAAUAGCUUUGAGAUGCCAUGCCAUGUUACAUUUGUACAUAAAUAGUGUAUAAUAUGCAAAACGCCUCAAAUUGCCACCCUGUAAGGACUCGACAAACUUAAUUAUGGCAUUUUAUGUGCCAUAUUUUGCCCACUGAGGCCUGAAAGUCCCUGCCUCUUGAACUUUCCCAGAAUCAGGAGCGCCAACCAGAUGAAGUUCAUGCAUGACAUUUCUGAAGACAUUAUACAUAUCAAAAGAUAAGCCUCCCCACAUCUCCUCCUAACACGUCUCCGUACGAUUGACUGGUCUGCACUUGCCUUCAGCGAACAACUGCACAACAGGUGCAAAUUAAAAUGAAAACAGGGCUUUCAAAUGUGGGAGGGGAGGCAGGGGGGAGGAGGGUGGCAGGCAGGCAGGCAGGAGGAGGGUGGGAGUGCGGUGACCUGCCUCGAAUACCAAUCGACAGAAGAAACAAAACCUUUUCAAGAGGUGUGAUCACAAGGGUUUAGGCAAGUUCAGACUCAGUAAUGCUCCUUGGAGAUGACAAAAAAGGCAACUGAGGCUGGAGACCCAGGAGUGGAGAGAGACGUUAGGAAUUCCUGGGUGGUCCACAUCUACCUUGGUACAAUUGAUAAUGUGCUUCUCUUUGAAAGUUGUACAUUUAAUUUGAAAGAGAAAAGCCUUUACCUGUUUAACUUCACAUCUAGAUGAUUGAAUCAUUUCAGUUCGUCAAAAUUAGGAAUCUCUCAACUUGAUUCAAAACAACAAGAUUAUAAUUUUGGAAUUCACCUCUGUGCCCCAUCACCCCUGAGGUUUUGAACUUUUCUCAGCAAUGUCCCAUCAGCUCUGUGUCCCCCAACGUCCAGAGGAGGGGGCAGCCGCACGAGGCUGGUAGAACAAAAGGCCAAGAGGCUUGGGAAGCUAUCAACCCGUUGCUGUGAACCUGAUCUCUGGAUGCAGAUUCAAUGACGGCGGAGCAGGGGCCAGCUGAAUGAAAUUAUCUAAGGCUGGACAGGUUUUAAAGGGCCUAUUCUUCCCCAAUAAAAGGAGCGAGGGUGCUUCUUUUUGUUUAGCAACACAUCCACCGCAGCAACGCACACCGUUCUGACUUCAAUACUCCCACAUAAGGAAUGCAGCACUGUGGACCUUCUGCUCAACAAACUUUUCAGGGCACGAUUGAGAAUUUGGGUCUUCGAAGUAAAUCCUGGAGAAGCAAAGUGGAGCUUUCAGUUUUAUUUUUGUCACCAGUUUGAACCAUUUUCUGUCUCCUGCUGUUUUUUUUUUUUUUUUAUCUCUCGAGACGUGUUGUUCUCAAGUUUCUGAACAAAUUUAAGCAUGGGGGCGUUGAACUGUCUCCGAAAGCUACAGUAGACACAAUCUUCUCUGAACGUCAGCUGUCUCCUCCGCGUUCAACGUAUACCUCCAAGAAGGCAAAAUGACAGUGGGGUGCUCAUCAAGUCAAACGCGUAGUAUUAACGUCAAGAAAGCCGCCAUUGUUUAGGUGCCACCGCUGACAAGAGCCUCUCCCUCUCCGAGCAUGAAGCAUCUAUUGGUAUUGUGUCACGCAACAAAGUAAUUCUAACCUACUAAUAUUUUGCAGGCAGUUAUUUCGUCCCCCCCCCCAAACCUCGCUCUUAAUCAGCCUUUUGUGUCGCUGAGGAGAGAGAAAGACAAAGAAAAGAUAAUGUUUACUUCUCAAAUGCCUCUCCUUUUCUCUCCUUUUCUUACCUUAAGUGUCAUCCUUGACAAAAGCAAUUACGGCUGACGUUUUACAAACUCUUGCUACCUGUUUGAUAUUGCUUUCUUCUCCCCUCUGUUUUAUUUCUCCCACCAUUUAAGGUAAAUAAAGGGAGCCUCUUUGACUUGAGUUGUUCAGAUAAUUAAAAUGACACAUGUGCAGCGCAAUUCUUGUUUAAUAUCGGGUUUUAAACUAUCUGACAUAACCCUUUCACAGGCCUGGCAUUAUUCUGUCACUCACAAAAAAGUACAGAGGGGAGAGGAAUAUUGUAUAUUGAUUAGGACGGCUAGAAGCAUCAGCAGUGACAGCCUGAGAGAGAACCAGAGAGCAAGGGAGAAAGUCUUAUUAAAAUCUCAUCAUUUCUUUGAUGAAGAUAAAUAAAGAAGAAAAAAAAAAACAAUGGCACAUGUAAUACUUCAGCUGUGACAGUUGUAUUCUGCAGAUACUGAGAAGCCAGUGGAAUUAAUUUAGUGCUGGGAAACAAACUCCAAAUCUAAAAUGAUUGUAUUUACAAAGCGUCAGGUUUGACAGUAAACAAAUGGCUCCAGUGAUCAAAAACGCCUUUAAUGUCGGAGUCAAAAUCAACUCCAACUGCAAAACCGUGUGUGCUUAUGACAACAGUUGUCUGACCACAUGCUGCAUUCGAAGACACCCAGAGUCACUCGGAGCAAUAAGCGGCCACCAACUUGUGCCUUUGAUGUUGACCCCAUGCAUCCGUAUGUAUAGUAUGUGCGCAUGGAAUUUCGUUCAAGUUGAGAGUGUGUGACACAAAAUAGAAUAUUAGAAAAUGAGCUUGUGUUCACAUUUGUAGUGAGUCUUUGACAAUUUGGUCAAACAUCUGAAAGGCAAAGUGCCUGGUUAAAAGGUCAAUGUCAUGCAAACCCACAUCUAUCCUUUUUUUUAACAUCAAAACUGGUUUUAACCUGCUUAAAAAUGUUGGAAAACAUCCUUACCUCACUUAAUUUCAAGCCAAAUAAAGAAGCAAUUUGCAAGUUUGCACAGUUACAACCUGUCAGCUAUGGAUAGCUGAUUUUUGUUCAAGAGCUUCAUUAACCAGAUAUUCAGUAAUGCAACACCAUUAAACCAAAAGUCCAAUUCUUAGCAGCUAGAGGCAGGGCGGUAGAGGAGAGUUUCAGGUAUUUAGCAUCAAGAAGAUUUCACUCCAAUACCUAAAAUUGGUUUGUGCAAGUAGGGUGAAUCUGAGAGAAAGCAAAACUUUUCUCCCAUUUGCAACGUAUUUUAACUUAAAAAUCUUCCCUUCUACAGCUGUGAAAGCCACGUUCAGAGGUGCUACACCUGCACUCUGCUGAGGAAAACCAUUUCACAAUGCUAACAAGUAUAAUCACAUUUAUUUAACGAUCCCAAAGUAGUCGUCCAGUGCCCAGAGGACGCUGCACUAAAAGCCCUUCCUGCUGGAAUCUCAGAGCCAGAGAGAAAGAGAGCUCUUUCUGUUCAGCAGGCCAACGGUAGAGGUGAUCGCUGCAGGGAGAAUGACUAACACCCACAUUCACGCUCUCACGCUAACCCCGGCUGACUUUUUAGUUGAGUGUCGAGGCUUAGCUCCAGGUGACACGCUCGGCCUCCUACGCCGAUAAUGAGCCAGGACAUUCUCCCUAUUGGACGAUAACUGCUCACGCUCGCUCCCUGUCUCAUGAAUGUGAGCGAAGCGGAUCACCUGGAUGGCUGCGAGGGAGAUGGGGAAGCAGGAGUGCUCUGUUAGUCAGUGUGUGUGUUUGUGUGUGUGCGUGGGAGGGCAUUAAGGUGGAAGCGAGGUCGCUGCCUUGUGGCUACGGCCAGCGGUAGCGGAUUCUCAUGAUGACCUUUUGUCUGCCAUUGUUCCUGUCUGCAACAGUUUAAGCACUUCCUCUGGUAAUGAAAACAGAGCGGCUGACAGAGACGUUUUCAUGUUGUUUUCGUGACCCGAACGAGAUGCCAGAGCCUCCUGCAAUGCUUGUUCAAGCCAGAGGGCACGGUACAAGGUGCAAAGGGGGCCAAUGUCUACACAUUUUCCCAUUUGAGAAGCAUGUGUUCGUGGGGUGACAACCAGCCACCCACUGCACUGCAGAGAGGAACCAAUCAGGCUUCAACACCUUGACUCGUCUUUCCGAAUGUGGCUGUUGCUGCUGAGCUGCCUCACCCACCUCAAUGUCAGUACUACAAAUUGGCUUCCAACAGGAACUCAAGGUGCCAAAGAGCCAUUAUACAGACAAAGGCUUGAAGUCUACCCAGGGAUUAAUGUGUCAAAAUCAUUGUGUGAUACACAGGAAUCAACCCUCUUCAUUAGGGCUUUCUAAGGAACGAGACAGAUCUCCUCUCUGCCAACAUCCGUGCACUCUGCUCUUCUUGUUGUAAGAUAAAUUGAGCUUUUUUUUUUUUACAGGGAGGAUUUGGACAUCUCAGGCAUUUACCUGAUUCUUUUAGUAUGAGGUGCUACAGUAGGCUCCCCAUAAAUAUGUGGAUCAUCAUCUCUAUAGCUUUAAAUGAAAACCUGUAGUUUCAUAGGGUGGACUAAAUAAUACGUUUUCUAUUCUAUGCCACCAAGGCCCAACAUUUUGUUGAUUUUCACUCCAACUGAACACUACAAUUGUUUACUUGGACUUUAAUAGCCCAAAUUUGACAAUAUCUAUUUGACAAUACCUGUUCAAAAUGUAGUUUCACAGGCUGUGAAGAAUUUAAAAUGAUAUAAGUCAUAGCAUAUUGUUCCCCAAAAAUACAGGUAUUCAAUGUACCAUUACAAGAGUCUGAGCUGAGCCCAACAUCCAGAAAAGCAGCUGAUAUAUUGGUGGAUGCAUCAUCAUGAUGAAACGCAACAACAAAACGCCUGCACCACUGGGCGACAACAGGCCCGAUUGUCAGCGAAGCCCAUCUCCAAUUAAACAAAGUUGUAAUCUGCCCCUGACAGAGCGGAUUAUGCUUUGUCCUGGUGGGGGCCUCAUGGGGGACGAAGGAGGAGGAGGAAGGAGGUGGUUAACCAUGGCUGGCGACUUAAUUUCCUGUGAAUACGCCCUUGUAUCCUCCCAUGGAGUUACCUGACUCAGCGCAGUCAGUCGGCUGGGUGGCUGACUGGCUGGUUGGUCGGCUGACUUGCCGUCUGCUUGUGGGAAUCAAAUCCUGUCCAAGAUAACAGCUAAUCAUUUGUCACCCCGAGAAGCAAUUCCCUCAAAUCACCCGGGAAGACAGCGCCACUUUAUUCUGUGGCGUUGUCAGGAUGGCAAGAAAUUACAUUCGGCCAUGUUUUUCCUCCUCAUCUACCCGCCUCCAAAUCUCUCCUGAGCCCCAUUUGGAAUGACAGAACAACAGCUGACAAGAUUGGAAAUGACUGUCUUUCCAACCCCAAACACAGACAUACACAUGCAACUACACGUUUCUAUUACUCUACCUGUGAGGAUGUUCUUUAAAAAGAUUUUUUUUCAUCAACUCUGACCCAAAACCAACCCUAGUGUCAGUUUAACCCCAAACCUGGGCCAUAAAAAGGCAAAAUCAGCUAACAUGUAUGGAAGAAUCUUUGUUUUUUCAAACCUUGUGAGAACAUGUGGUCCUGAAAUACAAGAACACAUAAUCACACAGGAGCUUUGGGAAACUGUGGGACAACACAUGUUGGCAAAUACAUGCAUGCAGGCUAGUAUAAAACACACACACACACACACACACACACACACACAUGCUGUAGCCUGUCCAUGCAGCUGUUUCCUUUUGGGAUUCCUUGAGUUGUUACACUGUGACAUUCUCUCUGCUUUCUCAGUUAGACAAUCAUUUGGAUGGAACAGUGUCCAACAACAUGGCCCUAAAGCUCAAAAGUUACUUCUGCAGGGGCCUCAACAUGUUCACAAACUAAAAGUUCCUUGAUGAUGGGAAUCAUUUGCAAAUGUGACACCCAAGACAUUUAGGAAAUGCUCUUGUCCAACACAGCUUACAUAACUGAUAUACACAACACAAUUUUGUGGGCAAAGGCUGUGAUCAAGUAUAUCUACACCUUUCUUUUUUGUCUCAGCAAGCAGUUGAACAUGUCUCAACUUUUCCUUUGACAGACAUAAACCGCCUCUUACAGUUUCCUAGUGAACUUUAGCUUUGUCCUAUGUUUUGAAAUUUGUACCCAUUCUCUUGUUCUUGAGCAAGAAGAGCCAUUUCAUCAGCAUAAAUGUUUAUUUCUGUAUUCUGUGUGUUAGCAAACUCAUGCUAACUAGGCAGCUUGCCAGUUUCUGUUGAACUUUGUGUUGGCUUUCAAUAAAAAUGACAAUUCUCUUAGUCCUCUUUGAAA
Long non-coding RNA from Siniperca chuatsi (mandarin fish), 7288 nucleotides. RefSeq lists it as uncharacterized. Lineage: Eukaryota; Metazoa; Chordata; Actinopteri; Centrarchiformes; Sinipercidae. The transcript is spliced from 3 exons. The record is from RefSeq and is a predicted model, not a curated record.